CCUACGGGUGGCAGCAGUCGAGAAUCAUUCACAAUGGGGGAAACCCUGAUGGUGCGACGCCGCGUGGGGGAAUGAAGGUCUUCGGAUUGUAAACCCCUGUCAUGUGGGAGCAAAUUAAAAAGAUAGUACCACAAGAGGAAGAGACGGCUAACUCUGUGCCAGCAGCCGCGGUAAUACAGAGGUCUCAAGCGUUGUUCGGAAUCACUGGGCGUAAAGCGUGCGUAGGCUGUUUCGUAAGUCGGGUGUGAAAGGUGCGGGCUCAACCCGCGGACGGCACAUGAUACUGCGAGACUAGAGUAAUGGAGGGGGAACCGGAAUUCGCGGUGUAGCAGUGAAAUGCGUAGAUAUCGAGAGGAACACUCGUGGCGAAGGCGGGUUCCUGGACAUUAACUGACGCUGAGGCACGAAGGCCAGGGGAGCGAAAGGGAUUAGAUACCCUUGUAGUC
RNAcentral lists this ribosomal RNA (446 nucleotides) under uncultured bacterium. Its description in RNAcentral is "partial 16S ribosomal RNA". It matches the Rfam family "Bacterial small subunit ribosomal RNA", at positions 338 to 795 of the family's 1533-position model. The record is from RNAcentral.